This 1524-nucleotide long non-coding RNA is filed under the name Camarhynchus parvulus. Its description in RNAcentral is "lncRNA (ENSCPVG00000004631.2)". Lineage: Eukaryota; Metazoa; Chordata; Aves; Passeriformes; Thraupidae. The record is from RNAcentral.
AUGGUGUUGCCUGAGAAACCAGAGUUUAUUGUGGUACCUGAGGAACCCGAGCCUGAUGUAGAGCCCCAAAAACUAAAAUAUGGCAUGAUGCCCCCAAAACAGAAGCCCAUUGUGGAAUCCCAAAAACUAGCUCAGGUUGUAGUGCUUGAGAAACAAGAAUUUGUUGUAGUACCUGAGGAACUCAAGCCUGAUGUUGAACCCCAAAAACUAAAAUAUGGUGUGAUGCCCCCAGAACAGAAGCCCAUUUUGGAAUUCCAAAAAGUAGCACAUGUGGAAGUGCUUGAAAAACAAGAGUUUGUUGUGGUACCUGAAGAACCCAUGCCUGAUGUAGAACCCCAAAAACUAAAAUAUGGCGUGAUGCCCCCAAAACAGAAGCCUGUUGUAGAAUCCCAAAAAACAAAGCGUGUUAUAGUGCCUGAGAAAUCAGAGUCUGUUGUGGUACCUGAAGAACCCAAGCCUGAUGUAGAGCCCCAAAAACUAAAACAUGGUGUGACGCCCCCAAAACAGAAGCUCAUUGUGGAAUCCCAAAAACUAGCACAUGUGGUAGCGCUGGAGGAACCAGAGUUUGUUCUGGUACCUGAAGAACCCAUGCCUGAUGUUGAACCCCAAAAACUAAAAUAUGGCGUGAUGACCCCAAAACAGAAGCCCAUUUUGGAAUUCCAAAAAGUAGCACAUGUGGAAGUGCUUGAAAAACAAGAGUUUGUUGUGGUACCUGAGGAACUCAAGCCUGAUGUUGAACCCCAAAAACUAAAAUAUGGCGUGAUGACCCCAAAACAGAAGCCCAUUUUGGAAUUCCAAAAAGUAGCACAUGUGGAAGUGCUUGAAAAACAAGAGUUUGUUGCGGUACCUGAGGAACUCAAGCCUGAUGUUGAACCCCAAAAACUAAAAUAUGGCGUGAUGACCCCAAAACAGAAGCCCACUGUGGAAUCCCAAAAACUAGCCCAGGUUGUAGUGCUUGAGAAACAAGAAUUUGUUGUGGUACCUGAGGAACCCAAGUCUGAUGUUCCACCCCAAAAACUAAAAUAUGGUGUGAAGCCCCCAGAACAAAAGCCAGUUCUAGAAUCCCAGAAACCAGAACCAUUUAUGGCCCCUGAGGAAUAUGAGCUCAUAGUAGUGUCUGAGGAGUCAGAGACAGUUGAAUCAACUCAAAAAUCAAAGCGUGUUGUGGUGCCCCCCAAAACAAAACAUUUUGUGCGGGCCCAAAAAACAGAUUUUGUGGCAGCUGAAGAAACAGACUUUGCUGCAGAUUUCCAGAAGUCAAGGCCUACUGCGGUGUCCAGAAAAUCAAAGCCUUUUGUGCCAGAACCUGUCAUGGUGUCUGAGGAACCAGAAACUGUUUUAGAACCCCAAAACCUGGAGCCUUCUACACCUCUUCGAAAACCAAAGCCUGAAGUGACAUCCAAAGAACCAGAGCUGGUUUUGGCACCAGAGGAACCACCACCAGCAAAGGGGGCCGAAAAGGACCAGCAUGUUGCCGCUAAAAAGCGAGCAGCUGCACAGCCUAAAGGUAUCUCUUGUGCAUAG